RNAcentral lists this transfer RNA (65 nucleotides) under Orgyia postica. RNAcentral's name for it is "tRNA-Cys". The record is from RNAcentral. Lineage: Eukaryota; Metazoa; Arthropoda; Insecta; Lepidoptera; Erebidae.
AGCCUUAUAUUCAAUAAUGAUGUAAAAUUGCAAAUUUUAAGGGGUAUAAAUUUAUACUAAGGCUU